RNAcentral lists this long non-coding RNA (4587 nucleotides) under Salmo salar (Atlantic salmon). RNAcentral's name for it is "lncRNA (ENSSSAG00000092161.1)". Lineage: Eukaryota; Metazoa; Chordata; Actinopteri; Salmoniformes; Salmonidae. The record is from RNAcentral.
UUCUUGAUUCAUGACCCGUAAAAAUGUAUUAAACUACAUUGUUGCCUUAGCCAGCAGCAAUUACACCAUACAGUACCAGUCAAAAGUUUGGACACACCUACUCAUUCAAGGGUUUUUCUUUAUUUUACUAUUUUCUACAGUGCCUUGCAAAAGUAUUCACCCUCCUUGGUGUUUUUCCUAUUUUGUUGCAUUACAACCUGUAAUUUAAAUAAAUUUUUAUUUGGAUUUCAUGUAAUGGACAUAAACAAAAUAGUCCAAAUUGGAGUGAAAUGAAAAAAAUUAACAGAAAAGUGCUGCGUGAAUAUUUAUUCACCCCCUUCGCUAUGAAGCCCCUAAAUAAGAUCUGGUGCAACCAAUUGCCUUCAGAAGUCAUAUAACUAGUUAAAUAAAGUCCACUGUAUAUACACCUGUUCUGAAAGGCCCUAGAGUCUGCAACACCACUAAGCAAGCGGCACUAUGAAGACCAAGGAGCUCUCCAAACAGGUCAGGGACAAAGUUGUGGAGAAGUACAGAUCUGGGUUGGGUUAUAAAAAAAUAUCUGAAACUUUUAACAUCCCACGGAGCACCAUUAAAUCCAUUAUUAAAAAAUAUAUUUUAUAUUUGAGAUUCUUCAAAGUAGCCAACCUUUGCCUUGAUGAAAGCUUUGCACACUCUUGGCAUUCUCUCAGCCAGCUUCACCUGGAAUGCUUUUCCAACAGUCUUGAAGGAGUUCCCACAUAUGAUGAGCACUUGUUGGCUGCUUUUCUUUCACUCUGCGGUACAACUAUUCCCAAACCAUCUCAAUUGGUUUGUGGUUGGGUGAUUGUGGAGGCCAGGUCAUCUGAUGCAGCACUCCAUCACUCUCCUUCUUGGUCAAAUAGCCCUUACACAGCCUGGAGGUGUGUUGGAUCACUGAUAUUGAGAUGUGUCUGUUACUUGAACUCUGUGAAGCAUUUAUUUGGGUUGCAAUGACUGAGGCUCGUCUGAGGCUGGUAAUGAACUUAUUCUCUGCAGCAGAGGUAACUCUGGGUCUUCCUUUCCUGUGGCGGUCCUCAUGAGAGCCAGUUUCAUCAUAACGACUGCAUUUGAAGAAACUUUCCAAGUUCUUGAAAUGUUCCAUAUUAACUGAUCUUCAUGUCUUAAAGUAAUAAUGGUCUGUUGUUUCUCUUUACUUAUUUGAGCUGAUCUUGCCAUAAUAUGGACUUGUUCUUUUGCCAAAUAGGGCUAUCUUCUGUAUACCACCCCUACCUUGUCACAACACAACUGAUUGGCUCAAAUACAUUAAGAAGGAAAUAAAUUCCACAAGUUAACUUUUAACAAAGCACACCUGUCAAUUGAAAUGCAUUCCAGGUGACUACCUCAUGAAGCUGGUUGAGAGAACACCAAGAGUGUGCAAAGCUGUCAUCAAGGCAAGGGUUGGCUACUUUGAAGAAUACAUUUUUAAAAAUAUAUUGUGAUUUGUUUAACACUUUUUUGAUUACUACAUGAUUCCAUAUGUGUUAUUUCAUAGUUUUGAUGUCUUCACUAUUAUUCUACAAUGUAGAAAAUAGUAAAAAUAAAUAAAACCUUUGAAUAAGUAGGUAUUCUAAAACUUUUGACUGGUACUGUAUAUACAAAGUAUGUGGACACCCCUUCAAAUUAGUGUAUACAGCUAUUUCAGUUGGAAUCACGAUUCUGUGCUUCCAACUUUGUGGCAACAGUUUGGGGAAGACCCUAUUCUGUUUUGCAUGACAAUGCCCCCCAUGCACAAAGCGAGGUCCAUACAGAAAUGUUUUGGCGAGAUCCGUGUGGAAGAACUUGACAGGCCUGCACAGAGGCCUGACCUCAACCCCAUCGAAAACCUUUGGGAUGAAUUGGAACGCCGACUGCAAGCCAGGCCUAAUCUCCCAACAUCAGUUCCGACCACACUAAUGUUCUUGUGGCUGAAUGGAAGCAAGUCCCUGUAGCAACAUUCCAACAUCUAGUGGAAAGCCUUCCCAAAAGAGUGGAGGCUGUUAUCGUAGCAAAAGGGGGACAAAUUUCAAAUGAAUGCCAAUCAUUUUGGAAUGAGAUGUUAGAGAACCAGGUGCCCACAUACUUUUGGUCAUGUAGUGUAUACUGGACAAUGUUGAAUACAGUGGGGGGGGAAAGUAUUUAAUCCCCUGCUGAUUUUGUACGUUUGCCCACUUACAAAGAAAUGAUCAGUCUAUAAUUUUAAUGGUAGGUUUAUAUGAACAGUGAGAGACAGAAUAACAACAAAACAAUCCAUAAAAACGCAUGUCAAGAAUGUUAUAAAAUGAUUUCCAUUUUAAUGAGGGAAAUAAGUAUUUGACCCCUCUGCAAAACAUUACUUAGUACUUGGUGGCAAAAGCCUUGUUGGCAAUCACAGAGGUCAGAUGUUUCUUGUAUUUGGCCACCAGGUUUGCACACAUCUCAGGAGGGAUUUUGUCCCACUCCUCUUUGCAGAUCUUCUCCAAGUCAUUAAGGUUUCGAGGCUGACGUUUGGCAACUCAAACCUUCAGCUCCCUCCACAGAUUUUCUAUGGGAUUAAGGUCUGGAGACUGGCUAGGCCACUCCAGGACCUUAAUGUGCUUCUUCUUGAGCUACUCCUUUGUUGCCUUGGUCGUGUGUUUUGGGUCAUUGUCAUGCUGGAAUACCCAUCCACGACCCAUUUUCAAUGCCCUGGCUGAGGGAAGGAGGUUCUCACUCAAGAUUUGACAGUACAUGGCCCCGUCAAAUGAUGCGGUGAAGUUGUCCUGUCCCAUUGGCAGAAAAACACCCCCAAAGCAUAAUGUUUCCACCUCCAUGUUUGACGGUGGAGAUGGUGUUCUUGGGGUCAUAGGCAGCAUUCCUCCUCCUCGAGUUGAGUUGAUGCCAAAGAGCUCCAUUUUGGUCUCAUCUAACCACAACACUUUUACCAGUUGUCCUCUGAAUCAUUCAGAUGUUCAUUGGCAAACUUCAGACAGGCAUGUAUAUGUAUUCUUGAGCAGGGGGACCUUGCGGGCGCUGCAGGAUUUCAGUCCUUCACGGCGUAGUGUGUUACCAAUUGUUUUCUUGGUGACAAUGGUCCCAGCUGCCUUGACAUCAUUGACAAGAUCCUCCCGUGUAGUUCUGGGCUGAUUCCUCACCUGUUCUCAUGAUCAUUCCAACCCCACGAGGUGAGAUCUUACAUGGAGCCCCAGGCCGAGGGAUAUUGACAGUUCUUUUGUGUUUCUUCCAUUUGCGAAUAUUCGCACCAAAUGUUGUCACCUUCUCACCAAGCUGUUUGGUGAUGGUCUUGUAGCCCAUUCCAGCCUUGUGUAGGUCUACAAUCUUGUCCCUGACAUCCUUGGAGAGCUCUUUGGUCUUGGCCAUGGUGGAGAGUUUGGAAUCUGAUUGAUUGAUUGCUUCUGUGGACAUGUGUCUUUUUUACAGGUAACAAGCUGCGGUUAGGAGCACUCCCUUUAAGAGUGUGCUCCUAAUCUCAGCUCGUUACCUGUAUAAAAGACACCUGGGAGCCAGAAAUCUUUCUGAUUCAGAGGGGGUCAAAUACUUAUUUCCCUCAUUAAAAUGCAAAUCAAUUUAUAACAUUUUUGACAUGCGUUUUUCUGGAUAUUUUUUGUUGUUGUUAUUCUGUCUCUCACUGUUCAAAUAAACCUACCGUUAAAAUUAUAGACUGAUCCUUUCUUUAUCCGUGGGCAAACGUACAAAAUCAGCAGGGGAUCAAAUACUUUUUUCCCCCACUGUAGGUCUUUACCCACAAAAUGCUAUUUUGAAGAAAUAUAUGUUCAUAAAUCUGCAUCAUUUUUCUAUUUGAAGAAGAGUGUUGUAGAAUAUAAAGUAUUCUGAGUGAAAAGUUUGAACCCAAAUUGCUUGUGGUCCACUUGUGAGUUAAUCUAUGGGAAAUAUUUUGUGAGGAUCUAACUUCUUACCCCAUUGGUCAUCGACCAUGUACACAUUUACAUUCAAUGUGCACUGUCAAUGCAAUCUGCUUUUAUACAUUCAAAGACAUAUGUUUUAUGUGAUCAUUACUUCAUUAUAAUGUACAAUCGAAUCAACUUUCAUGUACGUAAGUCUCAAAUGGGUACAUGAAGUUGAGUGCUAGCCUAUGCUAAGCUAAGAGGAAGGUGAUUUGAAUGUAUCCAGGAAGUGCCAAUGUGUCAGUUGUUUGCCUGUCUGCUUGAAUAUGUUGUGUAAACCCUUUGCUUGUACGCUCUCUCGUAAAGCCUUACAAGCUGUUAUAGACAAGUAGUGAAGACAUUUGAUAAUUUGACAUACUGACUUAUACCGGCUGUAUUUCUGCCCAAGAGGGCAAAAUAAGAACAUGAAAUGACACCGAGAAUCGAUAGAACAUUGCUCAAAGAUUCCCAAAAACGAUAACAUUCAAAAUGAUUUAAUUUUUCCUUUAAGGUGCUCUUAUGACAGAGGGUUCACGUAACAUGUUGCACACUUUUCCCGAUCGGCUGUGUGUUCACAUUAUAUGCGGUUUCAUUGCAGUAGCACAUAUCUCCAUUGCUCCUUGUAAAAAACAAUUGAACUGCAGCUGUAAAAUGUUGUAAUAAUAAAGUAUUGUACCAUGACUCUGGUAAACCCUGUAAGUUGCCCUUCAGAUGACAUCUGCCAAAACUGAAUAAAUUACUAUAUAAUGAC